UGAGUACGAGCUGCUACGGCAGCGAAGUGGGUGAUGUCAAGCUUCCAAGAAAAGCCCUAUACCCGUUAAGGCAUGAUGGCCUGUACCCGAAACCGACACAGGUGGGGUGGUAGAGAAUACCGAGGGGCGCGAGAUAACUCUCUCUAAGGAACUCGGCAAAAUGGCCCCGUAACUUCGGGAGAAGGGGUGCCACCGCAAGGUGGUCGCAGUGAAGAGGCCCAGGCGACUGUUUACCAAAAACACAGGUCUCCGCUAAGUCGCAAGACGAUGUAUGGGGGCUGACGCCUGCCCAGUGCCGGAAGGUUAAGGAAGCUGGUCAGCGAAAGCGAAGCUAGCGACUGAAGCCCCGGUGAACGGCGGCCGUAACAAUAACGGUCCUAAGGUAGCGAAAUUCCUUGUCGGGUAAGUUCCGACCCGCACGAAAGGCGUAACGAUCUGGGCGCUGUCUCGGAGAGAGGCUCGGCGAAAUAGAAUUGUCUGUGAAGAUGCGGACUACGUGCACCCGGACAGAAAGACCCUAUGAAGCUUCACUGUAGCUUGGUAUUGUGCUCGGGCUCGGAAUGCGCAGGAUAGGUGGGAGGCUAUGAACCAUUGCUUGUGGGUGAUGGUGAGCCACUGGUGAGAUACCACUCUUUCCGAGCUAGAGUUCUAACAGCCACCCGUUAUCCGGGGGCUGGACAGUAUCAGGUGGGCAGUUUGACUGGGGCGGUCGCCUCCUAAAAGGUAACGGAGGCGCGCAAAGGUUUGCUCAGGCUGGUUGGAAAUCAGCCGACGAGUGUAAAAGCAGAAGCAAGCUUGACUGUGAGACCUACAAGUCGAACAGGGAGGAAACUCGGCUUUAGUGAUCCGACGGUUCUGCGUGGAAGGGCCGUCGCUCAACGGAUAAAAGUUACUCUAAGGAUAACAGGCUGAUCUCCCCCAAGAGUUCACAUCGACGGGGAGGUUUGGCACCUCGAUGUCGGCUCAUCGCAACCUGGGGCUGAAGUCGGUCCCAAGGGUUGGGCUGUUCGCCCAUUAAAGCGGUACGCGAGCUGGGUUCAGAACGUCGUGAGACAGUUCGGUCCAUAUCCGGUGCAUGCGCAGGAAUAUUGAGAGGAUUUCUCCCUAGUACGAGAGGACCGGGAGGAACGCACCUCUGGUGUACCAGUUAUCGUGCCAACGGUAAACGCUGGGUAGCCAUGUGCGGAGAGGAUAACCGCUGAAAGCAUCUAAGUGGGAAGCCCACCUCAAGAUGAGUAUUCCCAUGGGGUAACCCAGUAAGGUCACGGGAAGAACACCCGUUGAUAGGCUCUACGUGGAAGCGCAGUAAUGUGUGAAGCGGAGGAGUACUAAUAGACCGAGGGCUUGACC
Molecule: ribosomal RNA, 1350 nt
Filed under: metagenome
Description: bacterial LSU rRNA
Rfam family: Bacterial large subunit ribosomal RNA
Source: RNAcentral